RNAcentral lists this ribosomal RNA (373 nucleotides) under uncultured Bacteroidota bacterium. RNAcentral describes it as "bacterial SSU rRNA". It matches the Rfam family "Bacterial small subunit ribosomal RNA", at positions 521 to 896 of the family's 1533-position model. Lineage: Bacteria; Pseudomonadati; Bacteroidota. The record is from RNAcentral.
UAAUACGGAGGGUGCAAGCGUUAUCCGGAAUCAUUGGGUUUAAAGGGUCCGCAGGCGGACUAAUAAGUCAGUGGUGAAAUCCCAUCGCUUAACGAUGGAACUGCCAUUGAAACUGUUAGUCUUGAAUUCGGUCGAAGUGGGCGGAAUGUGUCAUGUAGCGGUGAAAUGCAUAGAUAUGACACAGAACACCGAUAGCGAAGGCAGCUCACUAGGCCUGAAUUGACGCUCAGGGACGAAAGCGUGGGGAGCGAACAGGAUUAGAUACCCUGGUAGUCCACGCCGUAAACUAUCAAUACUCGUUUUCAGCGAUAUACAGUUGGAGACUAAGCGAAAGUGAUAAGUAUUGCACCUGGGGAGUACGAUCGCAAGGUUG